UCAGAAACUAGAGGCAUCAUAUGUUUUAAUAAAUCCUCUACGGGGGAACCUGAUGAGUACCAGUCAGACAACAGUCUGAGAACAGCAAAGUAGAUAACAGAGAUUUCCACCUGAGAGGUGACUUUCUGCCUCUCACUGUAACUCUGAGUGAGUCACAAUGUCUUCAUGUUCUAAUUGCUGCUCUUCAUUAUACCAGAUAAAAUCGAUUUCCUAUAGCCCAAAGGUGAUUUUGAAAAACAAGAAUAUAUGACAGUCCUCAAGUUCCUUAGAGAAAGAAGAAGAAGAAGAAGAAGAAGAAGAAGAAGAAGAAGAAGAAGAAGAAGAAGAAGCAGCAGCAGCAGCAGCAGCAGCAGCAGCAGUAGGAGUAGUAGGAGUAGUAGCAGCAGCAGUAGUAAUACACAUAUUAGCUAGUUCCACACCUGCAAUCCCAGCAGAGGAUCCCAAGUUCCAGCCUAGUCUGGGCAAUUUAACAAGAUCUCAAAAUUUAAAAAGGGCUGAGCAGUAGCAUAAGUACCUGCCUGGCAAGUGCUAGGUGAUGAGUUUGAUCCUGGGUAACAAAAAAAAGGGAUGUGUGUGCUGAGGAUGUAGCUCAGGGCACAAGCUUGGGUUCAAUCCCCAUCCUGGGGAAAAAAGAUAUAUACAUACUAAAUAAACUUUUAAAAGAGUUUCUGAAGAUGACCAACAGAAAUUAUUAGCAGAUCACACAAAUUUAUAUUUCAAAGACUAAUUUAAUUUUUGGAUAUAUAAAUACGGAGAAAGCAGGUGCUUCCUCCACACUCGAUAUUGGGAAUUAAACUCAGGGCCUUAUGCACCGCUGGGCAAGCACUUACUAUUGAGCUACAUAUUCCAUCUGUUUACUUUCCUUUAUCCCCUUCCCUCUAUUCUCAUCCACUGUGGCUGGCUCUGGAUAGUUAUGUACAAUAAAUAACAUCCUACAAUUAAUAA
This is a long non-coding RNA of Cavia porcellus (domestic guinea pig), 945 nucleotides long. RefSeq lists it as uncharacterized. The transcript is spliced from 2 exons. NCBI's taxonomy places the organism in Eukaryota, Metazoa, Chordata, Mammalia, Rodentia, Caviidae. The record is from RefSeq and is a predicted model, not a curated record.